AGGGGGCUGCUAAGCUCAAGGGCUGCAGCCAUGCCCAGAGCCGCAGCAGUAUCAAGCAACUCCAUUUACAAACAAAGGCACUGAUAACUCCCAGCAGGACCGAAAGGCUGUUAUCACGGUGCCGAUUAAAAUUUCCUCUUGCAGCCAAUGCAGAGGAGUUAGAUCUGUGGCAAAAUGUGCACGCUCCAGCGCUUAACCCCACUGCAGCAAUGUGCUGAGUCCUUCAGCACGCUCUGGGAGCUCUGGGACAAGUGGACAGCCAGCAGGAGAGAAGGUUGGUGACCUUGGUGCUGCUCAGACACCUCAGUGCCUCCCUGGGUUGCUUCCUCCACGGCUGAGAGCUGCUCCCUUUCUGCUGUGCUGCAUCCUGCACACCCACAUUUUAGCAAAGAAGACAAGACAUCCAGCUGCAGAAGAGACCCUGUCAUGGCUUUUGCUCAGAGCUGGUCCCAAAAGCAGCUGACCCCCAGAACACCCCAGAGCUGACCCGAACCAUGCCCUGUACAGAUCUCACACUCAGCAGAGCCUCGCCCCGAGCACAGCGCACCCUGUCCCCAUGCACAGCCCAGUGACCCAGUCGUGCACUCCUGCGGGAGGACCACAACGCAGCCCUCCUGUGAUGUGCCUCAUCAGGGUCCUCAUGGUGGCAGAGGGGGUGAGGAACACGGGGAGCCCCUUUAGGUGUACCAGCAGCGGGCACUCAACAGAUUACGGGGUUUUAACUGCUGCUAGCUGACAUGCAUUUAUCAGCAAGCAGAUUUUAGAGUGACAGGGAGCUUGGAUGAAGCAAGGAGGAUGAUGGGUGGAGGGCGGAGAAUGCUGCUUGUUUCAAGCUACCACAUAUCUGAUAUGCUCGGUUGUUUGCAAGAAUGAGGAUGUGUCUCCCACCCAUUUCUGGGUAAUUAGACCAGCAAGAAGGACAACCCCACAAUCCUGGCUGGAGCCACCCGGGAUCUCUAGGACUGAGGUUCUGCAUGUCAGGAACCGUGGAGUGAAGUGUCCCACAGCCACCACUGAGCUGCGGUGGGAGCUGCACACAAAGGCUGCUGGCAGAGCACCCCUGCAGACAGGGCGAGCAAGGCACCACGAAGAGGAAGCAAAGGGCCUGAAGCGAAGCUGAUUUCCUGGGGUUUCCUGGUGGUUUGCGAGAGGUGCAGUGAUUGCUCCCCAUCAGGCAGCUUCUUGGCCACAGCUGGGGAUGGCUGCAGCACAACAACAACUCCUCCAGCCGUGGCAGCCCAGGCUGGGCAAUGCUGGAUGGAGGACAGCUGGGGCACGGUGCUGUCCGGGCCUCGGGGCUCUGUAUGUCCUGCCCACAGCAGGCAACAGUUGCUUGUGAGAAAUCAUGCUGUCACUGAGCCUGGUGGAGAAUUUCAGCUGGGCAAAUCACUGGAAGCAAAAGCAGAAAGGAAGGAAGGAAACCAGAGGGUGCCUCCCAAACAUGCAAAGCAGUGUCAGGGCACCUGUCCCAGGGCAGAAGAGCAAAAAGCCCAUUCCCAGCAGUGGGGUGAACUGGGAGGGGCCUGCUUGGCACGUGGGGAGCCAGGAGGUUUGUUAGGGAACCACCAAGCCCUGCUUGUAAAUGCAAAAUCCUCCAGACUGAGGCUGCUAAUACUGAGGGCUGGCAGUUCAUAAUGGAAAAUGUUCAGUGUGAGGUGGCUUCUGAAGGACUUUAGAAGUGUCGGGCUAAGUGUAAGUGGGGUACACUGGCCCUCUUUGCAGGACAGGACCAGUCCACUUUCCAGCUGGAGCAGUUGAACAAUGUGCAACGUGUACCCCAAAGCUCUUGGGGCUGUGCCUGGCCCACAACUCCAUGGGGUGUCAUAACCCCCAUAGCUCCUAAAACAUCCAUGCCAGGGUGCCCAGGUUGCGGGGAUGAAUUCAAUUUUUCUUCAGAAACAUCUUUUUGUAAUAGGGAACUCGGAGGAAACAAUAGUGCUGGCUGGUGGUGGGAGAUACCUUGCAGAGUUUCGCUGUAUCUGUAUCACAUCUGCCUGUGGAGAGAGCCUGGGCUGGGAAACUGUGGGUUUGUGUUCCUGUAGUGUACAGCAACACGAUGCUCCCAGGGAGUGCAUUAAACAUGGAAAAUAGCAAGGAUCCCAGAAUAGGCUGGACCUAAUCACUGACAGGAAUACGUGCCAAGUUCAAGAUUCUGGAUUUUUAUCUUCUGAGUGCUCCUGGCCCCCAGCCCAAACCACCACAGAAAUUGCCUAUGUCCCCAGAGUGAGCAGUUCCCCAGA
Long non-coding RNA from Cygnus olor (mute swan), 2240 nucleotides. RefSeq lists it as uncharacterized. Lineage: Eukaryota; Metazoa; Chordata; Aves; Anseriformes; Anatidae. The transcript has 4 exons. The record is from RefSeq and is a predicted model, not a curated record.